UGAGUACGAGCUGCUACGGCAGCGAAGUGGGUGACGUCAAGCUUCCAAGAAAAGCCCUAUACCCGUUAAGGCAUGACUGCCUGUACCCGAAACCGACACAGGUGGGGUGGUAGAGAAUACCGAGGGGCGCGAGGUAACUCUCUCUAAGGAACUCGGCAAAAUGGCCCCGUAACUUCGGGAGAAGGGGUGCCACCGCAAGGUGGUCGCAGUGAAGAGGCCCAGGCGACUGUUUACCAAAAACACAGGUCUCCGCUAAGUCGCAAGACGAUGUAUGGGGGCUGACGCCUGCCCAGUGCCGGAAGGUUAAGGAAGCUGGUCAGCGCAAGCGAAGCUAGCGACUGAAGCCCCGGUGAACGGCGGCCGUAACUAUAACGGUCCUAAGGUAGCGAAAUUCCUUGUCGGGUAAGUUCCGACCCGCACGAAAGGCGUAACGAUCUGGGCGCUGUCUCGGAGAGAGGCUCGGCGAAAUAGAAUUGUCUGUGAAGAUGCGGACUACGUGCACCCGGACAGAAAGACCCUAUGAAGCUUUACUGUAGCUUGGUAUUGUGCCCGGGCUCUGAAUGCGCAGGAUAGGUGGGAGGCUUUGAUCCAUUGCUUGCGGGUGAUGGUGAGCCAACGGUGAGAUACCACUCUUUCAGAGCUAGGGUUCUAACGGUCACCCGUUAUCCGGGGACCGGACAGUAUCAGGUGGGCAGUUUGACUGGGGGCGGUCGCCUCCUAAAAGGUAACGGAGGCGCGCAAAGGUUCCCUCAGGCUGGUUGGAAAUCAGCCGACGAGUGUAAAGGCAGAAGGGAGCUUGACUGUGAGACCAACAAGUCGAACAGGGACGAAAGUCGGCCUUAGUGAUCCGACGGUUCUGAGUGGAAGGGCCGUCGCUCAACGGAUAAAAGUUACUCUAGGAUAACAGGCUGAUCUCCCCCAAGAGUUCACAUCGACGGGGAGGUUUGGCACCUCGAUGUCGGCUCGUCGCAACCUGGGGCUGAAGUCGGUCCCAAGGGUUGGGCUGUUCGCCCAUUAAAGCGGUACGCGAGCUGGGUUCAGAACGUCGUGAGACAGUUCGGUCCAUAUCCGGUGCAUGCGCAGGAACAUUGAGAGGAUUUCUCCCUAGUACGAGAGGACCGGGAGGAACGUACCUCUGGUGUACCAGUUAUCGUGCCAACGGUAAACGCUGGGUAGCCAUGUGCGGAGCGGAUAACCGCUGAAAGCAUCUAAGUGGGAAGCCCACCUCAAGAUGAGUGUUCCCAUGGCACAAGCCAGUAAGGUCACGGGAAGAACACCCGUUGAUAGGCUCUACGUGGAAGCGCAGUAAUGCGUGAAGCGGAGGAGUACUAAUAGACCGAGGGCUUGACC
This 1350-nucleotide ribosomal RNA is filed under the name metagenome. RNAcentral describes it as "bacterial LSU rRNA". It matches the Rfam family "Bacterial large subunit ribosomal RNA", at positions 1564 to 2925 of the family's 2925-position model. The record is from RNAcentral.